AAAUGAAUUGACGGGGGCCCGCACAAGCGGAGGAACAUGUGGUUUAAUUCGAUGAUACGCGAGGAACCUUACCCAGGCUUAAAUUGCAGUGGAAUAUGGAUGAAAGUUCAUAGCCUUCGGGCCGCUGUGAAGGUGCUGCAUGGUUGUCGUCAGCUCGUGCCGUGAGGUGUCGGCUUAAGUGCCAUAACGAGCGCAACCCUUAUCUUUAGUUACUAACAGGUGAUGCUGAGGACUCUAAAGAGACUGCCGUCGUAAGAUGCGAGGAAGGUGGGGAUGACGUCAAAUCAGCACGGCCCUUACGUCUGGGGCUACACACGUGUUACAAUGGGGGGUACAGAAGGCAGCUACACAGCGAUGUGAUGCUAAUCCCAAAAGCCUCUCUCAGUUCGGAUCGAAGUCUGCAACCCGACUUCGUGAAGCUGGAUUCGCUAGUAAUCGCGCAUCAGCCACGGCGCGGUGAAUACGUUCCCGGGCCUUGUACACACCGCCCGU
This 492-nucleotide ribosomal RNA is filed under the name uncultured bacterium. RNAcentral describes it as "bacterial SSU rRNA". It matches the Rfam family "Bacterial small subunit ribosomal RNA", at positions 903 to 1397 of the family's 1533-position model. The record is from RNAcentral.